This 61-nucleotide transfer RNA is filed under the name Dryophiops rubescens. Its description in RNAcentral is "tRNA-Gly". Lineage: Eukaryota; Metazoa; Chordata; Lepidosauria; Squamata; Colubridae. The record is from RNAcentral.
AUUUCUUUAGUAUAGUAUGUACGAGUGUCUUCCAAACAUUUAGCCCCAUAGGGAAGAAAUA